ACUCUUCUAGCCUGGUCUGAGAGCCCAGCAGGCUCGAGACACUGCAACCUGGCCUGGCCGUGGGCAGGCAGGGAGUGGAGGUUGCGGCAUCGUCUGGGCAGAGGAGCUGGGGCGUUUGCCAGAAGUCUCCAACGGGCCAUCUGGUCCCAGAGAGCAGAGCACACAGCCUCAAGAAAUACGAGAAAGGCGGCAGGGGCAGACGGUGAGGCCCCAGGACAGAGACUGGGGUUUUUUGUUGCUGCUUCACCGCCCCCGCUG
Molecule: long non-coding RNA, 258 nt
Filed under: Homo sapiens (human)
Lineage: Eukaryota; Metazoa; Chordata; Mammalia; Primates; Hominidae
Description: LNC_000412
Source: RNAcentral